GCUGUAUUUUAUGUUAAUGCAUUUUUCAAUGAUACGUAAGCAAGGUAUUUCGGGUCCUUUAUAG
Molecule: transfer RNA, 64 nt
Filed under: Casearia corymbosa
Lineage: Eukaryota; Viridiplantae; Streptophyta; Magnoliopsida; Malpighiales; Salicaceae
Source: RNAcentral